UACGGGGGAUGCAAGCGUUAUCCGGAAUUAUUGGGCGUAAAGGGUCCUGAGGUGGCUAGCCAAGUCUAUUGUGAAAUAUCAGGGCUUAACCCUGAACAUGCGGUGGAAACUAGAAAGCUUGAGUACAGUAGGGGCGGAGGGAAUUUCCGGUGGAGCGGUGAAAUGCAUAGAUAUCGGGAAGAACACCAACGGCGAAAGCACUCCGCUGGGCUGAUACUGACACUGACAGACGAAAGCUAGGGUAUCGAAAGGG
This 253-nucleotide ribosomal RNA is filed under the name uncultured bacterium. Its description in RNAcentral is "partial 16S ribosomal RNA". It matches the Rfam family "Bacterial small subunit ribosomal RNA", at positions 524 to 776 of the family's 1533-position model. The record is from RNAcentral.